RNAcentral lists this ribosomal RNA (392 nucleotides) under Salmonella enterica. Its description in RNAcentral is "partial 16S ribosomal RNA". It matches the Rfam family "Bacterial small subunit ribosomal RNA", at positions 1152 to 1533 of the family's 1533-position model. The record is from RNAcentral. Lineage: Bacteria; Pseudomonadati; Pseudomonadota; Gammaproteobacteria; Enterobacterales; Enterobacteriaceae. RNAcentral also lists the same sequence under 1 other name.
CCAGUGAUAAACUGGAGGAAGGUGGGGAUGACGUCAAGUCAUCAUGGCCCUUACGACCAGGGCUACACACGUGCUACAAUGGCGCAUACAAAGAGAAGCGACCUCGCGAGAGCAAGCGGACCUCAUAAAGUGCGUCGUAGUCCGGAUUGGAGUCUGCAACUCGACUCCAUGAAGUCGGAAUCGCUAGUAAUCGUGGAUCAGAAUGCCACGGUGAAUACGUUCCCGGGCCUUGUACACACCGCCCGUCACACCAUGGGAGUGGGUUGCAAAAGAAGUAGGUAGCUUAACCUUCGGGAGGGCGCUUACCACUUUGUGAUUCAUGACUGGGGUGAAGUCGUAACAAGGUAACCGUAGGGGAACCUGCGGUUGGAUCACCUCCUUACCUGAAAGAA